UACGUAGGGUGCGAGCGUUGUCCGGAAUUACUGGGCGUAAAGAGCUUGUAGGUGGUUUGUCGCGUUGUUCGUGAAAUCUCACGGCUUAACUGUGAGCGUGCGGGCGAUACGGGCAGACUAGAGUACUGCAGGGGAGACUGGAAUUCCUGGUGUAGCGGUGGAAUGCGCAGAUAUCAGGAGGAACACCGGUGGCGAAGGCGGGUCUCUGGGAAGUAACUGACGCUGAGAAGCGAAAGCGUGGGUAGCGAACAGG
RNAcentral lists this ribosomal RNA (253 nucleotides) under uncultured bacterium. RNAcentral's name for it is "partial 16S ribosomal RNA". It matches the Rfam family "Bacterial small subunit ribosomal RNA", at positions 524 to 776 of the family's 1533-position model. The record is from RNAcentral.